Molecule: transfer RNA, 75 nt
Filed under: Thermoproteota archaeon
Lineage: Archaea; Thermoproteati; Thermoproteota
Description: tRNA-Arg
Rfam family: tRNA
About the family: Transfer RNA (tRNA) molecules are approximately 80 nucleotides in length. Their secondary structure includes four short double-helical elements and three loops (D, anti-codon, and T loops). Further hydrogen bonds mediate the characteristic L-shaped molecular structure. tRNAs have two regions of fundamental functional importance: the anti-codon, which is responsible for specific mRNA codon recognition, and the 3' end, to which the tRNAs corresponding amino acid is attached (by aminoacyl-tRNA synthetases). tRNAs cope with the degeneracy of the genetic code in two manners: having more than one tRNA (with a specific anti-codon) for a particular amino acid; and 'wobble' base-pairing, i.e. permitting non-standard base-pairing at the 3rd anti-codon position.
Source: RNAcentral
GGGCCCAUAGUUCAGUUUGGAUAGAUUGGCUGCCUGCGGAGCAGUUGGUCGAGGGUUCAAGUCCCUCUGGGCCCG